Molecule: unclassified non-coding RNA, 21 nt
Filed under: Mus musculus (house mouse)
Lineage: Eukaryota; Metazoa; Chordata; Mammalia; Rodentia; Muridae
Description: oocyte_clustered_small_RNA806
Source: RNAcentral
UCCUCUCUCCAGACCUCUGGA